UGCCCGAUAGCUCAGUUGGUAGAGCACUUGGCUGUUAACCAGGCUGUCGUAGGUUCGAGUCCUACUCGGGCAG
RNAcentral lists this transfer RNA (73 nucleotides) under Fibrobacterota bacterium. RNAcentral describes it as "Fibrobacteres bacterium (bioreactor metagenome) tRNA-Asn". It matches the Rfam family "tRNA". Rfam says of the family: Transfer RNA (tRNA) molecules are approximately 80 nucleotides in length. Their secondary structure includes four short double-helical elements and three loops (D, anti-codon, and T loops). The record is from RNAcentral. Lineage: Bacteria; Pseudomonadati; Fibrobacterota.